UCUGUCUUCACAAACACCCAGUAAGACUAUGGGAUUGUACACAAGACACCUACCCUUUCUGGCCCUCCAUUCCUUCAUCUGUAAAAUGAAAAUAGCAGUAAUACCACCUUCACCAAUCCAGCACCCUGCAGGGGCACAGGAAGGAGCUGACUCUUAUUUCCUCCUUUCCCCUCCUUAGUAUAAGUUAUGACUUAAGACAAAUCACAGAUUCGUCAGAGAAUUAUUAAUCACCUAGAACAAAUUUCUGAAGUGUUUGAGAGGCUCAGUGCUACACAUUGAUAAGCAUGUGUUAGAUAGAACCAUGUGACUGUCAGAGAUAUUUAUUGCUGUCUCCCCACUGCCUGCUACAAUGCAUGGCACGAAGAAGAGGCCAGGAGAACACGUGUGGAUUUGGUUAAUUCCCUGAGUAAUUGACUGUAUUCUUCUGGAUUAUAAACAUCUGUCUACUGGAAAAUUCUUGUGUGUCUCUGAAAGCCCAGCCCAAGUAUCACAGCAUCUGGGAAGCUUCCUCUGACCUUCUCAGCAGGAUUGACUGUGCCCUUAUCUCAGCUCCCCUCUACCGUGGCUUCUCUGCACCCACUUGUCACAUUGUUGAUUUGCAUGUCAGCCUCCCCCAAGGCCAGAGACUGACCCAAGGACAGAGCUGGGCCAUGGAUCUCUGUACCCUGGGCCCAGAACAUUCUCUACGAAUGCUUGGGGACUAAAUGGAUAUCAGAAAACUCUGCACUUCAUUUUCCUCCCAAGCUGUUGACCAGCGAGGCUGGCUAGGAACCCAUGCAGGAUGGAGCAUGCUCCAUCGCACUUGGAUGCCCGACGCACAAGCCUAAGGCACAUGAGGUUGUGAGGAUGCUCAAAGGGGAAAAGUCACCCUUCAGGACUGGAUCUAAUGAAAAUACUUUAAUGGGGAUGAAUAAACAGAGGAGCAUAAAGUUAUGCAUGUACAUUGAAUAAAGUAUAUUUUCAUCCAUAAAAUACAAGUUUAGCUUAGAUUGUUGUAUUAUCUCUCAUUGCAUAACAAAUUAACUCCAAAAGUUGGCUGCUCACAACUGACCACAUUUCUGAGUGUUGGGAAUGCAAUAACUGGUUCAGGAUCCCUUAAAGGUCAUGUCAGCUCUCGGUGG
Molecule: long non-coding RNA, 1121 nt
Filed under: Callithrix jacchus (white-tufted-ear marmoset)
Lineage: Eukaryota; Metazoa; Chordata; Mammalia; Primates; Cebidae
Description: lncRNA (ENSCJAG00000081666.1)
Source: RNAcentral